This 608-nucleotide ribosomal RNA is filed under the name Lepidium apetalum. RNAcentral's name for it is "eukaryotic LSU rRNA". The stretch from base 254 to 409 matches the Rfam family "5.8S ribosomal RNA". Lineage: Eukaryota; Viridiplantae; Streptophyta; Magnoliopsida; Brassicales; Brassicaceae. The record is from RNAcentral.
UACCUGUCCAAAACAGAACGACCCGCGAACAAACUAUCAUCACUUGCGGUGGGCCGGUUUCUUAGCAGAUCCCGUGUCCACCGAAUCCUUGGUUUCGCGUGCCCUUCCGAACGGGCGGUCGUGCGCGUAGCCGAUGGAUAUCACAACAACACGGCACGAAAAGUGUCAAGGAACAUGCAACCGAACGGCCAGCGUUCGCCUUCCCGGAGACGGUGCAAGCGCGAAUGCUGUGCUGCGAUCAAAAGUCUAAAACGACUCUCGGCAACGGAUAUCUCGGCUCUCGCAUCGAUGAAGAACGUAGCGAAAUGCGAUACUUGGUGUGAAUUGCAGAAUCCCGUGAACCAUCGAGUCUUUGAACGCAAGUUGCGCCCCAAGCCUUCUGGCCGAGGGCACGUCUGCCUGGGCGUCACAAAUCGUCGUCCCCCUCACAAAAUAUUGCGAGUGUGGGACGGAAGCUGGUCUCCCGUGUGUUACCGCACGCGGUUGACCAAAAUCUGAGCUGAGGAUGCUGGGAGCGUCCCGACAUGCGGUGGUGAUCUAAAGCCUCUUCAUAUUGCCGGUCGCUCCUCUCCGUAAGCUCUCGUUGACCCAAUGUCCUCAAAGCGACC